CCUACGGGCGGCAGCAGUAGGGAAUCUUUCACAAUGGGCGCAAGCCUGAUGGAGCAACGCCGCGUGCAGGAUGAAGGCCUUCUGGUUGUAAACUGCUUUUAUAAGCGAGAAAUAUGAUGGUAACUUAUGAAUAAGGAUCGUCUAACUACGUGCCAGCAGCCGCGGUCAUACGUAGGAUCCGAGCAUUAUCCGGAGUGACUGGUUGUAAAGAUUUGCGUAGGUGGCAUAAUAAGUAGCUAGUGAAAUCUGGUGGCUCAACCAUUCAGACUAUUAGCUAAACUGUUAAGCUCGAGACCGUGAGGGGUAACUGGAAUUUCUAGUGUAGGAGUGAAAGCCGUAGAUAUUAGAAGGAACACCAAUAGCGUAGGCAGGUUACUGGGACGGUUCUGACACUAAGGCACGAAAGCGUAGGGAGCAAACGGGAUUAGAUACCCCUGUAGUC
Molecule: ribosomal RNA, 442 nt
Filed under: uncultured bacterium
Lineage: Bacteria
Description: partial 16S ribosomal RNA
Rfam family: Bacterial small subunit ribosomal RNA
Source: RNAcentral